AUGUACAGGCCGCGAAUCCAUGUGCUGGACCUGCUCCCCAACCCGCACCCCAGGGGCUUCCACGACUCCGCGACCGCCCUCAGCCGCAAAGGCGGCGCCUGGUACGCCGUCGCCGCCACGAGCGAUUGGUCCCCGGUGUACAAGACCGAGUGCAACUGCGACACGCCCAUUAUCAGGGACAAGCUCGCCCCCCUACCCGUCGAAGUGUCGGAAGAAGACAGGCCGUAUCACAAGACGGACAAGACGAUCACGAUCGGCGACGAGCGCGGCGCGGUCGCCUGGGUGGACCUCUGGCGCGGCAUCCUCGUCUGCGACGUGCUCGUGGAGCCCCUACAGCCUGACUGUCAACUUUCAGUCAAAGAUGUCACCAUGGAUGCCGGCGGCGUCCCAGGUCAUUGCGACCUGCUGUCUAAGCUGAGCGGCAGCGGCAGCGACACCACCCCAACGUUGCAAAAACUUCAGAUGGUGUUCCCCACCAUAAGCAUAGACGACGACGACAUUGUCUACUUGGCUUCUAGCACCAAACACGGGAUCAUGGAAAAGAUGGAGUUCAUGAUUGCUAUCGAUGUGAGGAACAAAACCCUGCGAGGAGUAGCCCAACUUGAUGUAAAGAAGCGCUUCGUUUUCUUUCCCACCUUCUACACCAGUGAGAUCUGCAGAUAUCUGAGCAAGAGUGCAGGUAAUUAA
This 687-nucleotide ribosomal RNA is filed under the name Triticum aestivum (bread wheat). RNAcentral describes it as "partial small subunit ribosomal RNA". The record is from RNAcentral. Lineage: Eukaryota; Viridiplantae; Streptophyta; Magnoliopsida; Poales; Poaceae.